This is a long non-coding RNA of Alligator mississippiensis (American alligator), 7732 nucleotides long. RefSeq lists it as uncharacterized. The record is from RefSeq and is a predicted model, not a curated record. Lineage: Eukaryota; Metazoa; Chordata; Crocodylia; Alligatoridae. The transcript has 3 exons.
GCGCUCUGUAAGAGCAUGCCGGCGUUUGCGCAGGCGUUCGCGCUGGAGGGCGGGCCGGGAGGGCCCCGAGUGGGACUCCUGUAGGGGUAGGGCGUAGACACCUCACAGGUCUACAAACAGCAGCUUGUAGAAUGGUGUCAACGAGGAGUGCUGCUAGGGCCUCUGCCCAGGGGGACAAGGCUACCCGGGGCAGGUCUGAGGCCUCCACCCAGACCGAGCCCAUGGGGGAGCUGAUGUCCCCCUACCUCCUGGCCUGUGGGGGAUCCCCAGCAGGGCCGGGGGGGCAGAGAUUGGGGGCCCCCACACCUGUCCGGCAGGUGCCCGUCUUAGGGCUCUGGAGGCGCAGGUGAGGGAGCUCCGGGAGGAGGUUAGCAGGCUGAGGGGGAUCAGGGAGGCGGAGGAGGAAAUUGACAGUUAUUUCCUUUCCCUGCAGGCCCAGGCACCCAAGGAAGAAGCAGCCCAGGGAGUGCCCUCCGCAGCAGAGUGGCAGAUGGUCACAGCCAGGACCGGAGCAGCUCGCAGUGAACCGGUACCAGCUUCUCCAGUCCGACUGGUGAACAGGUACGAGGCCCUGGCAACCCUGCAGGAGAUGGAAGGGGAGGAGGAAACCCUUGGGCAAGAAGAAACACCACAUUCUUCACACUCCGAACAGAUCAAGAGAUCCAUGAGGACCCAGAGGAGGAGGCGACGAGUGCUCGUCAUAGGCGACUCCAUCCUGAGAGGUACGGAAGGACCCAUCUGUCGCCAGGACCCCUCGGCACAAGAGCCUACCAGUGACCGGACGAGGAAGACGGCAGGAGAACUGCAUCCGAGAAACCAACUGGCGGCUUCGGCAGUGGUGUCUCAAGGCAGGCUUCGGCUUCCUGCACAAUGACCCGCACAUCACGACGAGGGACAUGCUCAGCUGGGAUGGGCUUCACCUGUCCCCGAAAGUUACUUGUCCUCCCUUGAUCUGCUGGGUGAAUAUGCUACUGAAAACUGAACAAAGGCAGCAGCUCCCCCCUGUUGCUAACAUUAGUAUAUUAAGCUAUCAUUAUCAUCAAUGACACUGCCAUCUGUAAUGUGCUGUGGGGCAAACACAGAGAGUGCCAGCAGCUUCAGCACCACCGGCAGAUGCUUCAUCACGUAAGAAGAUACAUGAAGCCAAAAUAUUCUAUACUUGAAGCCAAACACUUGAAUGAGAGAAAAGGAAGUGGGGAGGGAGAGGACAAUCAGGAAAGAGCUGUCCAUGCUCCUCAUCAAAGCACAAGAGUAAUUGUAAAAGUGUACAAGGAAGCUCUGAUUAUUGAAACUGUCCUACUUCAUCUUAAGGAAUAACAGGCAUAAAACAGGAGUCUUAAUUUUAUUCUAUUUCACUCAGAACUCUGAAUGACUGGCUCUUAUUCUUUCCUUUUAUCUUUUGCGUUCUCUCCCAUGCAGUUUAUAGAAAUUAGUUCCACAUAAAAAUUAACAAGUAAAAGUUGUUGCCCUUCUCCCCUCCACCCCAACCCCCCCCUCCUUCAGUAAUCCCUGUACUUGCUGGUAGGGAAGGGCAAAAAAGGCAGCUUUGGUUCUCCCUUUCUGUGUAUAUAUAGCCUCAUCUUAUUCUCCCUGUCCCAGAGCUAUGGCCCUUCUGUGUCAUUAAGACCUAUAAGAAAUAGACUUCACUUCUUGCUUUCUAGCUGCACCUAUAAGGGACAAGUUUUGAAAAGUGGUAACUGCAUUUUACAUACAAAUAGACAGGAACUCUUGUCUACUCUGUGCUCUUUUUUUUAAUUGAGCGUUAUCAUUCAGAGAUUUGAAAUGAUUACACAGAAUUCAAUCAACUCUACUAUUUUCUUACAGUAUAUAAGAUUCUAUUUGGAAGAGAUCCUCAAAUGCAAAAGAGCAAUGAUUUAUUAUUACUAAAAUGUAUCUUGUAGUAGCACUUAGAGGCCUCAUCCAAAGACCAAGGCAUCUGUGUGUUAGGUACUGUAUAAUCAUAUAGUAUGUAACAGCUCGUCAUAAAUAGGGCACUUUCCUAAAAGGAGAGUAAGAGUUGGGGCAGUGCAAUGUCGCAGUCAAACACUGUCUCAGUAGUCUAUCAGCACAAGUACUAACCCCACUAAUUUUGACAGGGCCAUCUUUGGUAUAAACGGUGAGAGACUUGAUCCUAGCAGAUGGUUCUUUACUCCUCUGUUCUGAUUUCUAAAAGAAAUACCUUGUAUUUUAUAGUGUAAGGGAACAGCAUGGAGUAACAUGAAAAUCACUUCAUAAAUAUUUAUAAUUUACUAAAAUGUUAUUUAAAUGUGUUACUGAGUUAAAAAAAAAAAUCCUUCUUUAUUCCUGACAUCUGUAUCAGGUUGAACCACUGAACUAAUGUGCAGUGCAUAUGUUCUUAACACACUUUUCAGAAUCAUUUUCUAUAGUAUGAUUUUGGUUUUUGCCCAAAAGUGGUCAGUUUCCAUUUUAUAUUUUUAAGUGCAUGUGAUCUAUUUCAUAUAAACUGUUUUCCUGAAUAACUUCUUAGUUCACAGGACUUACUACAUAAAGCCACACAUUAACAAUAGAUAAUCCUAAGGAUUCUGAUAGUAUUAGCUGAUCUUUCAUUAUUUGAAUCCUUAUCUUAAAUAAAAUAGAAAAUGGUAGUGACUUGACUGAAACUGUCCAGUUUAACACCAUGUAGCUUUCUUUGCCUUCAGAGCUCGUGUUUGCUCACUAUGCCCUCAAGUUAAUGGAAAAUUAUUUUCUUUUCUCCUCACAGUGGCAUUCUGGUGAACUCAACGAAGUACAAUGGGUAGUCCAUGUUCAGAAUGUCCUCACCACUUUCCCAAUUCAGAAAGUUCAAAUAGCCCACUUAAGCAUAAUCUUUAAGGAGUAAGUAAAACCUUUUGAGAAGUACAUAUUACCAGAGUUAAAAAAAUAGUGUUUUCUUCUAUAACUUGUGUAUCCACAUUCUACAUGAAACUAAAGCAGUUUAUUUCUUCAAAUGUAAGAUACGGAAUUUAGCUCCAUUUUAUUCAGUUCCUGAACUGGUAUUGUUCAGUCCAUUUGCAAUGUUAUGAUUAUCAAAGUAUUGAUAGGGAGAGCAUUUUUAACAUCAUCUGAUCACUAUAUGUAUUCUGUUACUUGAAUUGUCACUUUCCUCAAAAGUAAAGAAGAUGUUGUAAAAUUAAUUUAUUGAGUUACACAGCUAACUUUGAGUGGACUGGAACCAGAUUCAGAAUGGAGGGCUGUUCUCCAUCACUAAUGUAUAUCUAUAGACUUGUAUUUCAGGUUGUCACAUGUUACACCGGUCACUGCCUUUAUAUUAACUCAAUUGUUUUAGGACACAAGUCAGCAAACUACAGCCUGCAAGCUGGAUCUGCUCUGUGGAUACACUGGAUCUGACCCUUGGACCCAGGAGAGCUUCAGCAAUGUUUGUUGGACCAGGAUUUCAGUGGCAGGGGCUUUAUACACAUCUUACCAUGGCUGGGCAGUGGUGAGUUUCACCCAUGCCACAGCUGGGCAGCAGGAAAAAAAGGCAGUUGGGGCUAAUCCUGGCUGUAGCCUGCCUCUGGUCAGAGUGAAGUCAUUUUGGUUUUCCAUUGCAAUAAGGUUGCUGUCCACUAUUUUAAAGCAUUGCAUGAGUGCUGUCCUAACCCCAGGAUUGAAGGUUGCCUAACCCUGUCCAUUGUGAACAUUCUCCUGACCAUUUUUCAGGAGCAGGUUUUGCCAAAGAAAUUUGAUAUUUUGACAGAGAAAUAGCUCUGGCAGUCAGCUAGCAGGGCAUUUUACCACAUGAUACAAUUCUUUCCUACACUGACUCCCUGUCCAAAAUAAACACUAAAUAUCUUUAACGUAUCCUCAGAGAGGAUGUUGCUUUUUCUGUGUUUUCUCUUCUACUGAAGGUUUUCUGCAUCACUGCCUGUAUUUCAUCAUGCAGGAGAGUAUUCUAUGAUGAAUUUCUUGACAGCAUCUGAUAUUGCUGCUUCCUUGUUCAAAGAAAGGGGGGAAAACAUAAUAGAAAAAAAAGAAAAAGUGUUCCAAAAGAGUUAAAUUAGUUCAAAUUAUUCUAAACUCACCACAUUUGUCCAAGGCAAAUUCCAGGGGGUUUGUCAAUUUUAAUUAGAAAUGGCACAAUGAUUGUGCACAAUGUAGCAGAUUAUCAGGGCUACUUGUUAAAUUAUUAAAGGCUGGCUAAGCUUCAGAAUGAAGUUAGCGUCCAAAUUAGCAAAUGUGAUAGUUUAUAGUUUAUGCUCACAAAAAUAAUUGCUUUCCUUCCUCCUCCCGCAGACUGUUUUUUAUCUGCAAAAACUACCAAGCCUGUAAAUCUCCAGCUAAUUUCUGUGAAUUAUAUCUAGCUUCAUAACAAUACAACUGAGUGAAAUGCCAUGCCCUUUUAUUUGUCUCUAUCUCAUUUUGAUGUUGCUUACUUCUUUGCUAUAUUCAUAACUUCCCUUUGCUACAGUGUAUCAUGCUUUUACCUCGGCAGGGCAUAUAUCAUAGAAUCCCGAAAACUAGGGUUGACUAAAGAAAACUGGAUGCUGAGAGGGUGCGUCUACAAAUUCAAGAAUGUGCUUUUGCUAGCGUGCAUUAUAUUUAGUACGUGCACUUUAAUGCAUAUUAUCUUAUUUUAAUGCUAAUUAAAUUGUCACAAAAAAGUGCUCAUUAGCUAAUUCUCAUUAAAAUAGGCUAAUGUACAUUACCUAAAGUGCAUUAAUGAAGGUGUAGACGCACCCUCUAAUGUGAGGUACUAACUAAAUGUGAAUUAUGCUGCCCAAAUACACAGUGGUGAAAGCACGUGCUUUUUUACUGAUCUGUUUAGUAGCCUAGUUUUACUGUGCAUUAGCAUAUUAGUAGUUUUUUUCCAUGAUGCUCUAAUGCAUGGUAAAAUAGGCUACUUUGCAUUAAAGUGCACAUGUAGACGCACCAAGUAUGUGGCAAGCAGGCAGAAAAAAUAGCUUAUGAAAGCCCCGUGUAAGGAAAGUAAUACAAUAUAUGGUUAGGAACAGGUUCUCAAACUAUUGUCUUGGAGGUACCAGCUGGACACUUGGUAUUAUUUCUUCUUUUUAAUUUCAAUGGCUAAUUAGCUUUAAAAAUAGCUAAGCAUGGAUGAGAGAAGAAAGAUUGUUCAGCAGCUAAUUUCUGGACCAGCAUAGCAGUGUAGGAACUUUGAAAACCCACACCAGAGUCUUGGCUGUCACACGUUUAUUGUACAAUGUUGGGCAAAUCACUUAAUCCUUUAGCGGCUCACCUAUUCCAUUUCUAUAAAAUGAGGACAACAGUUCUUCCCUUUUUUGUGCAAUUGUUGAGAGAAUAAAAAGACUGUGAGGUACUUAGAUACUUUUGUAAGUGAGGUCAGGUUAAUAUCUUAGAUUGAUACAUUAAAUAUUUUCUUAUGUUUCCAUACAAAUGACCGUAUUUACCUGAAUCCAGGAUGACUUCAAAUUAAAAUGACCCUACACCUCCAAUAAUUAGAUUCUAGAUAUGAAAAAUGUAUACAUUUGUUAUAAUUUUCCAUGUAUAGAAUCCAAUUAUUUGACAGUCAUCUUAUAUCCCACCGCCCAACACCAUUGCAGCACGGCAAGCAGCAGCAGGGGCAGGUUGGGGGAUAGGCCCCCAUGGUUCCUGUUCCCAUACCACAUUUUGCCCCAUUUCACUUGCCCCACUCCCACCUGCCCCCAUCCAGGCCUGCACCUUUUGGCACCUGCUCCUCCCUGCAGUGCGGGCACCAUCUGGCACCUGUUCCCACCACCACUUGCCUCAUCUCCUGCUUCCCCCCCCACAGUACCUGCUACCCCCUCAAUCCUGUGUCUCCCAGUGCCUGUCCCCACCUCCAGCUUGCCCUUGGUUGCCCCAUCUUGUUGCUUGCCCCCUGUGCUUCCCUUCUCAACCCCCUCUACUCCUUAUGCCCCUCGCUGUCACCGUUUACUGCUGCAGCUCUGGUUUGAGCUGUGGACUCUCUCUGGCCUGGGGUAUGUGUGGCCUCCAGCCCCUGCACAACCAUGCAGCAGUGAUUGCAGAGUUCAGGCCCCAGCCCUGGACUCAGGGCCAGAGUCAGAGACAAAGCUGCUGUUCCCACUUGUACUCAAAUCUGAGACGAGGGCCUUCCCCUCCCUCAUUUUGAAUCAGAAAAAAGCCUUGUCUUAGAUUUGAGUAAAUAUGGUAUACCUUUAACAUCUAAAGGUAUCUCUUGCGUUUGGGAAUAGGAAAAGAGUGUGUUUUCUGCACAGUCAGUAAGAUAUGGUAGGUAGCCCCUGAGACAGUAUGCCAUUUAAAAUAUAGUUCAUCAUGAGAAAGGUUGAGCACCUCUGCUUCAAUAUGUCAGAUAUACUUUUAUUUCUGUUAACUCAAGAUACAAACACAUCUACCUUUAAAAAAAGUUCAUCACUCAAUAAACGUUUGAGUGAAAUGAGUUUCAUCAAAGUCACUUUCAAAGUCUUUUGGGCAAUUACAUUUGAUACUUUGUUUUGCACUCAUUCAUCUAAUUUUUGUCACCUUCAAAUCAAGUGUCUUCCUAGACAAAUAAUUACAUGUUCCAUAAACUCACUAGACCUUGGAUUGUGUUUAUUAAUGCAAGAAACUUUCUAAUUUCUAUCCAUACGAUGCCAGUCCCAUAUUCUGAAGGAAAAACAGUUGAGACAAUGAAUAUCUAUCAUUAUGUGUGACUUGCCAGAGGAAAACACCUCCUCAAACACCCACACACCUGUAUGAAACCCCUUUAGCUAUGUGACAGGAACAGAAGUCAAGAUUCAAUUCCCAUGUCAUUACAUUUCAAACCCAGCCAGUCUAUUGAUUAUCUGAUCUCCAUUGACACCCCUUGGGCACAAUAAACACAGCCUAAAAAUUUGUCAGCCCUGAUACAUUAUAAAAUACAUCUUCACUCUUUGGAAUGAUGUAAUCAUUUCACAUCUAUCACUUGUUCAGUGUCCAGGUGUUUUGCAGAGGUCAAAUCAUUUCAAGCAUUUUAGAUGUGAUCUACUGGAAACUGCAUUCACUCUUUUUUUUUUUUCCAAAAACACCUGAAGCACUGUGGUAAUCAUGGUGGCUUUAUCAAAAUGACACAAUCUUCACUAUUAUAUUCUGCCUAGAUAUGAAGCCUUCUAAAGCAAACUUGAUUAAGUAAUUAACCUUUUAUAACGAAUCAUUUAAAUAGACAGUAUCCCUCCUGAAAGACUGCUAUUUGUAAUGUAAUCUAUGAACAGCACUGUACCUAGGGAAGCAAUAUUUCUACUCUAAGUAGCACAAAAUAAGCACAAAAUGACAAAAUAGGAGUUUCAAACCUGUUAGCUGAAUAAAACAAAGGAAUACAUCAGUUUAACUGGUUCUCCAACUACUUUAAACUGCUCCAUGGUACAAAUAAACUAUUAACUUGACUUAAUUACUGGUAAAAUCAAGUUUAUGGAUACUUUGUAAAGCAGAGAGUGAACUGGUGCAUCCGGCCUUAACACUUUAAAAGGCUGAAAUGUAAAAUAUUGUCCAGAAAUAACAACACUUACUGUUCAUAUUCUUUCGAAAUGCUGAUUUUGUCUGUGUUUGUCAUAUUUAUUUCAUGAAAGGCCAAGUGUUUUAUUUGCAAACAACAAAUUUUAUUAAAUGCAAAAAUGUAGACAUCAUGCCCACCACAAAGAAAGACUUUCUUUCCUUUUAAGAAAGAUCUAUUUGCUGACUUCAUUUGAAGAACUGAAUAAAAGUCUUUGAAGAGCCCUUAAUAGGGAUUGUAGGAGCUUGUUUAUUCUUAUUUUAUUGACUGAAAAAUAUCCUGAGGUCAGGACCCCCAGAAAGAUUUAUU